UACGUAGGGAGCAAGCGUUGUCCGGAUUUAUUGGGCGUAAAGAGCUCGUAGGCGGCUUAGCAAGUCAGAUGUGAAAACUCCAGGCUCAACCUGGAGACGCCAUUUGAUACUGCUAUGGCUUGAGUUCGGUAGGGGUAAGCGGAAUCCUGGUGUAGCGGUGAAAUGCGCAGAUAUCAGGAGGAACACCGAUGGCGAAGGCAGCUUACUGGGCCGAUACUGACGUGAGGAGCGAAAGCGUGGGGAGCGAACAGG
Molecule: ribosomal RNA, 252 nt
Filed under: uncultured bacterium
Lineage: Bacteria
Description: partial 16S ribosomal RNA
Rfam family: Bacterial small subunit ribosomal RNA
Source: RNAcentral